UACGUAGGGGGCAAGCGUUGUCCGGAAUCAUUGGGCGUAAAGAGCGUGUAGGCGGUUUGUCGCGUCUGCCGUGAAAGUCCGGGGCUCAACUCCGGAUCUGCGGUGGGUACGGGCAGACUAGAGUGAUGUAGGGGAGACUGGAAUUCCUGGUGUAGCGGUGAAAUGCGCAGAUAUCAGGAGGAACACCGAUGGCGAAGGCAGGUCUCUGGGCCACUACUGACGCUGAGAAGCGAAAGCAUGGGGAGCGAACAGG
Molecule: ribosomal RNA, 253 nt
Filed under: uncultured bacterium
Lineage: Bacteria
Description: partial 16S ribosomal RNA
Rfam family: Bacterial small subunit ribosomal RNA
Source: RNAcentral